This 273-nucleotide ribosomal RNA is filed under the name uncultured bacterium. Its description in RNAcentral is "partial 16S ribosomal RNA". It matches the Rfam family "Bacterial small subunit ribosomal RNA", at positions 524 to 796 of the family's 1533-position model. The record is from RNAcentral.
AACGUAGGAGCCUAGCGUUAUCCGAAUUUACUGGGCGUAAAGCGCGUGCAGGCGGCUUGGUAAGUGGAUUGUGAAAUCUCCCGGCUCAACUGGGAGGGGACGGUCCAGACUGCCAGGCUGGAGGCAGGGAGAGGGAGGUGGAAUUCCCGGUGUAGUGGUGAAAUGCGUAGAGAUCGGGAGGAACACCAGUGGCGAAAGCGGCCUCCUGGCCCUGACCUGACGCUGAGAGGCGAAAGCUAGGGGAGCGAACGGGAUUAGAAACCCUAGUAGUCC